AUUGUUUCAUUGCAAAUGGAUCUCUUCACCUGAGACGAAUUACAAAUUAUAUAAGUGCUUAAUGCACAGGAGGAUUUCCAAUAUGGAACAAGGAACUGUUAAAUGGUUUAAUGACGAUAAGGGCUAUGGCUUCAUUACGCGUGAAAGUGGCGAUGAUGUAUUUGUUCAUUUUUCUGCUAUUCAAGGGGAUGGCUUUAAGUCAUUAAGUGAAGGUCAACAUGUUACAUUUGAUGUUGAGGAAGGUGAACGUGGCCUUCAAGCAGCAAAUGUCGUUAAAGACUAAAUACUAAACUAAAAAGCGACUGGAUUUUUCCGGUCGUUUUUUU
This 326-nucleotide unclassified non-coding RNA is filed under the name Limosilactobacillus reuteri. Its description in RNAcentral is "Lactobacillus reuteri cspA". The record is from RNAcentral. Lineage: Bacteria; Bacillati; Bacillota; Bacilli; Lactobacillales; Lactobacillaceae.